UAACUUAUUUCAUUCACUUAUUUCUCAGACCAAAAAUCAGAUUGAACCCCUGCACCUCCAACCCAAAAAUCCCACACAAACCCUAGGUUAUUUCGGAUGUUACGAUGUGAUUCUAGUGCCAAAAACCCCGGACAACUUGCUAGUUUCUCUUUCUCCUUCAUGUAGCUGCGUUGGGGGACUGGUUUUUGAUGGAGAAGGACUAGGUUUCGUGGUUCUACUCAGUCCAAGGUAAGUUUAUGCUUUUCCUUCCAUUAUCUAUGCUUGUACGAGUUGUAACUCGACCAUAAAGACUAGACCUAGCGAGUUUCGAAUGAGUAGUAUGCUGUUUGUUGUUGCAUCAUUGGCUGGCUGUAAAUUUAUUUUUAAGCUGAAUUGAUGGCUGGUUUAUAGGAUAAGAGUCAUAAUUAUGUACUGUUGGUUGUGUUGCUCAAUUUGAAAAAAAAGACAAGUCGAAACAUGUUUUAGUAAAUAAAAAAAAAAUCAGUUUUGAGAUGUUGAAUUGUGGGACUGUUUUGUGGGCUGUUUCGUGUUGCUGUUGGGUUAUCAAUUUUGCUACUAUUUUUAUGGAGUUUUGGAGGAGAAAGAGUAUGGAGAAAUACCACAUAAUGGUAGGGUGGUUGGCUGGUCGUUCGUCAUUACAUUUUUUAGGUUGUUGGACACUACUUUAGUUGUUGUUUUAUGUAUGAAGUGAUUAGGGUGUGUAGGCUGUUUUUGUGGUAUAUUGUGAUAGAGAUAAGGUUGGAACAUGAUGCAUACAUGUUGUUAUUGUUGUGUUCUUGCUGUUGUUGAUAUAUGGUAUUGGAGGAGGGACUUGUUAUAUGGGAGAUGCUGCCAAAUUUACGUAAACAAGCUGCUAGUUUAAGUUACGGACUUAGCCUUUACUCAACGCUGAUUUUGAAUCUCCUUAUUCUGUGGUAGAUUGAGUUGAGUUGUUUGAAGAAUAGCAUCGAAGGUAUUAAGGACUCAACGGAGUUAAGGU
RNAcentral lists this long non-coding RNA (979 nucleotides) under Nicotiana tabacum (common tobacco). Its description in RNAcentral is "long non-coding RNA (NTAB_LNC015412)". Lineage: Eukaryota; Viridiplantae; Streptophyta; Magnoliopsida; Solanales; Solanaceae. The record is from RNAcentral.